AAUAUGUAGUAGCUCAUAAGCAAGAUGACUGGAUGUUCAAGCAGAUGUGAGAGAUGUGCCACCCUUGAACCCUGUUAUAACAUUGGCACAUUACCUGUCUGACG
Saimiri boliviensis boliviensis (Bolivian squirrel monkey) is the source of this 104-nucleotide small nucleolar RNA. RefSeq annotates it as small nucleolar RNA U13. NCBI's taxonomy places the organism in Eukaryota, Metazoa, Chordata, Mammalia, Primates, Cebidae. The record is from RefSeq and is a predicted model, not a curated record.